This is a long non-coding RNA of Nyctereutes procyonoides (raccoon dog), 778 nucleotides long. RefSeq lists it as uncharacterized. The transcript has 4 exons. The record is from RefSeq and is a predicted model, not a curated record. NCBI's taxonomy places the organism in Eukaryota, Metazoa, Chordata, Mammalia, Carnivora, Canidae.
GCCGCCGCCGCCGGAUCCGCCGCUUCCUGCAGCCUCCCCUCCCCCGGCCCAGGGCGCGACAGCCGAGCCGCUGGGGUUUUCUCCCUGGUAUUGAGCCCUACCUGAUAGAUAUCAACUGUUCUACUUAAUCGUCCUGUAUCCCGGCUGUCCCCACAACCGCAGUGUCAGCCCCAGGAGGGCAGGGGCUCUGGACUCUUCUCCCCGCUGCCACAUCCUGGGGCCUGGUGCCCGGAGACAGCAGGCACCCCGGCGAUCUGCGUCAGCGGCCCUGGAAUGCCACCGAGUGGCCCGAAGAGGGGCCUCCCGCCCUGGGGGAAUCUCAGAAACCAAGCGUUGAUGGAAAAAGGCAAGUCCCAGAAGGCUUUGGACAAUGUAAGAAAAUGGGCCCGAAGUGUGACGUCAGCCUCAGCAAGGCCCCGCUCCCGCCGAGCCCUCGAGCCCUCGGUAGAGCCCUGCCCAGCCUGGCGCUCCUCGGCGCUCUCUGGCAGCUUGCGUUAUUCCCAUUUCUGCUCUCUGGUCACGUGGCUGUCCACAUCUUCAUCUUCUUAUAAGGACACCAGUCAUAUUGGAUCAGGGGCCCACCCUACUGCAAGAUGACCUCAUCCUGACUAAUUAUAUCUGCAACGACCCUAUUUCCAAAUAAGGUCACAUUCUGAGAGCUGGGGUUUAGGGCUUCAGCGUCUUUUGAGGGGACAAGAUUCAACCCAUGAUACGGGCGUUUGUCAAGUUGUUCUCCAAAAAUUUUGGGAUGUCUUCAAUAGCGCAUUAAACAAAAAGU